GAUGAACGCUGGCGGCGUGCUUAACACAUGCAAGUCGAACGGAAAGGCUCCUGCUUGCAGGGGUACUCGAGUGGCGAACGGGUGUGUAACACGUGGGUGAUCUGCCCUGCACUUCGGGAUAAGCCUGGGAAACUGGGUCUAAUACCGGAUAGGACGAUGGUUUGGAUGCCAUUGUGGAAAGUUUUUCGGUGUGGGAUGAGCUCGCGGCCUAUCAGCUUGUUGGUGGGGUAAUGGCCUACCAAGGCGUCGACGGGUAGCCGGCCUGAGAGGGUGUACGGCCACAUUGGGACUGAGAUACGGCCCAGACUCCUACGGGAGGCAGCAGUGGGGAAUAUUGCACAAUGGGCGCAAGCCUGAUGCAGCGACGCCGCGUGGGGGAUGACGGCCUUCGGGUUGUAAACUCCUUUCGCUAGGGACGAAGCGCAAGUGACGGUACCUGGAGAAGAAGCACCGGCUAACUACGUG
Molecule: ribosomal RNA, 465 nt
Filed under: uncultured bacterium
Lineage: Bacteria
Description: partial 16S ribosomal RNA
Rfam family: Bacterial small subunit ribosomal RNA
Source: RNAcentral